UCAGAUUGUAGGCUGCAACUCGCCUGCAUGAAGUCGGAAUUGCUAGUAAUCGCGGAUCAGCAUGCCGCGGUGAAUACGUUCCCGGGCCUUGUACACACCGCCCGUCACACCAUGGGAGCCGGUAACACCCGAAGUCAGUAGCCUAACAGCAAUGGAGGGCGCUGCCGAAGGUGGGAUUGGUGACUGGGGUGAAGUCGUAACAAGGUAAC
RNAcentral lists this ribosomal RNA (209 nucleotides) under uncultured bacterium. RNAcentral describes it as "partial 16S ribosomal RNA". It matches the Rfam family "Bacterial small subunit ribosomal RNA", at positions 1293 to 1500 of the family's 1533-position model. The record is from RNAcentral.